CCUACGGGCGGCUGCAGUGAGGAAUAUUGGUCAAUGGAGGCAACUCUGAACCAGCCAAGUAGCGUGCAUGAUGACGGCCCUAUGGGUUGUAAACUGCUUUUAUGCGGGGAUAAACUGAGUCACGUGUGGCUUAUUGCAGGUACCGCAUGAAUAAGGACCGGCUAAUUCCGUGCCAGCAGCCGCGGUAAUACGGAAGUUCCGGGCGUUAUCCGGAUUUAUUGGGUUUAAAGGGAGCGCAGGCCGCCCCUUAAGCGAGGUGUGAAAUGCCGCGGCUCAACCGUGGAACUGCAGGGGGAACUGGGGGGCUUGAGUGCGCUGGAGGUAGGCGGAAUUCGUGGUGUAGCGGUGAAAUGCUUAGAUAUCACGAAGAACUCCGAUGGCGAAGGCAGCCUACUGUAGCGUUACUGACGCUGAGGCGCGAAGGUGCGGGUAUCGAACAGGAUUAGAUACCCCUGUAGUC
RNAcentral lists this ribosomal RNA (460 nucleotides) under uncultured bacterium. RNAcentral's name for it is "partial 16S ribosomal RNA". It matches the Rfam family "Bacterial small subunit ribosomal RNA", at positions 338 to 795 of the family's 1533-position model. The record is from RNAcentral.